Molecule: long non-coding RNA, 2855 nt
Organism: Mustela erminea (ermine)
Lineage: Eukaryota; Metazoa; Chordata; Mammalia; Carnivora; Mustelidae
Exons: 7
Source: RefSeq, a predicted model, not a curated record
UGGACCUUCGCUGCUGCUUUCCUGUGCGAAGGGGCCAGACCUCAAUCUCCAGGGAGUCUCCAUUGCCUUGCGCCCUUUUCAUUUGGGCAGAGGCCUUCAAGGAUUCGUUCUGAACCUUCAGGAUGAGGCAUUGCAGAAAUGGCUCCCAGGCACCCCGGUGACCUCCGGCAGAGACACGCCAGGAAGGCAGGCAGGGGCCGUGCAGCAGGAUCAUGUUCUGGGCUAGAAAGUACGUCCGCUCAUUACCCGACCUUUGCUAAGUACACCAACUAAUGGAGCGAGAGACAUGAAAGAUCUUCACAGGCCAUGUGGAAAUGUAAUUCACACCCAGCCCGAGGAGGUCACGGUGCUGCUCUAGAAGACUUUGGAGUGCCAUGAGGACAAGAAAACAAGAGGAAUAGACUUUGUCAGGGAGGAACAGCCAAGGAAGACUUCUCUGAGUACCUCAUUGUGGCCACCAGUACUUGGGUGGGUACCAGUGUUGAUUGAGAUCCAGCUCACUGGCUACACAGGAUCAACUGUCUGAGGACUUCAGACCUUUUGAAAGAUAAAGAUUGCCCCAGAAUCAUGGAGACGUUGAGAUGGAAGGGUUGGAGAGCGUGUGCUGGAGAGCACUGUGCCGAUGGAGAGGCUGAGCCCCAGGAGGUUCCUGUGGGUCUCCUGCAGCCAAGUCGCCCUAGCAGCCCUGAUCAGCAGCCUCCAGACUUCAUAUGUGAGAGAGGCCCUACGGCAGCCUCAUUCCCCCACAGAUCACCACCGCACCCAGCACCUAGCACCGGGCCUGGUUCCAGCAGGCGUUUGAGUGAAGGAUGGGCCUAAGGUGAAAGUCUCCUAUAGCAGACCUCAGGUAUGUCCCUCUCAUCCUCUUUGUGACAGUCACUGAGGUUGGAGGUGCCGGAGGCUGCUAGAGCGGAUUCCAGGCUGGCAUUUCCACCCCUCUUGCUGGAGGCCUUGCGUCGACCUCCCUUCUGCCUCCAUUCACACCCGGGCUAUGGCAGAUACUGGGUGGCCCACACCCAAGGAGGGCAGGCGGGGGUCCUCUAUCCCAGGGAGCUGGAAACGAGGGCAUCAGGGACGGCGAUGUCUGCUCUGCCUCACCAGAUGGUCCCAUUUUCAGUUCCAAAAUGCUGCCACUUCUCCUUGAAGUUCGUGUCUCUAAGCCAUGAGCCUGGGGAAGAAAGGCGCUGGGCCAGCGCUCCGCUGCACCAGCACGUCUCUCUCCCUCAGGAAUCACCUUCGUCACCAUCCAUUGCCAAAAUGAAUGGAGGCUGCAUGGCCGGCUUUAUUAAAUAUGAAUGAGUCGCAGCCCACGGCCCCCACGCGGUCACUCACCCACUCCAUCUCUGGCAAUUACUGUGUCGCACACACUGUGCCAAGGGGCGCAGCGGUCCCUGCCUGCCCUUGCAGACUGACACCGCCCAGCAGGGGCAGGGCUCAGCUCUGCAACUGCCCCUGAUGGAAAGCCACUCCUGGGCUCCCGUGCACUCAGAAUGGCUCUGCUUUGCAGGUGUAGGGACAGGGCACCUUCCACAGAAGGACUGGAUUCUCAGGCUCCAAGCCUUCGCUGGGUCGGGCCUGUGGCUUUGGAGCCCAAGACAAGGUCUCCUGGUCUGGUGGGCUCCUGAGCAAAGCCUGCAUGUUAGAGGUGUGUGGGUAACACCCAGACAUUUUUUAUUUCAGGCAGUUUUAAGAUCCAGGUUAAGAGCACGUGUGCAUGUGCACACCAUCACUAAACACACAUUCAGUGUGUGUUAACGUUACCUCACAAGAACCAACUAGAUUGUGAGUUUCGUGUCACUAGGGUCCUUGGUAGCCCUGUUCACUGCUGUGUCCCCAGUGCUGGGGACAGAGGACCUGCUUAAACAUUAUUUGUUGAAUGAAUAAACAAGGUGGGUGUUACUGUUUAGGAGCAAAUGAAGUGGAGUGACAGAACUCACCAAGGUUCUCCAGCCACUGAGUGUCAGAGCUAGGUGUCCCCUCCAGGGCGGGGCUCCAGCCAGCCCCACAGGCUGCCAGCUUGCCCGCCCAGGGCCCUUCCUGCCCUGCCCAGGCCAGGGUCCAACACCACUCCACGCUGCUAUAGGUACAUGGAUUUGUCUGACCUUAAUUCCAUCAGGAGAGCCAGAAAAAUUCCCCAUGGCCCCACGUGGCUCUGUCAAAGUUGUCAAAAACCAUCUAUGAAGUUGUAAAGACAAACGAAAUCAAAUUCUUUUUCUGAACUUAAAAAAUUACUUUUAUUUUAGGAACCAAUAAAAUUAUGGCAAAUAUUUACAAAUAAUUAUCUCACAUAAAGGUUACAUAAAAUCAAUUCUUCACAAGUAACAGUCACUCAUGAAAAGACACACAGAUAUUAAAACUACGCCAAUCUUAUUGCAAGUUUCUCCAACUAAUCUAAAAUAAAAGUGUUGCAAUAAACCAUUUAACUUAGAAUAAAACCACAAAUUUCAGGUUUGACGAGGAAAAAAAAAGUAAAAAACCAAAACCCCACCCCUGUUUUCUCCCAAGUCCCACCCCCAGCCCCUGCCCUCCUCCCAACAAAAGAAAAAUAUGUCCGACAUCUUUGGCAAAUUGGCACUGCUGUAAUUACAUUCAAAUAUUAUUACACACAAAAGCAACACACGUCACUAAGAAAAAAAACCACCAAUAUUUCAAGUCAGUUAUUUUCUACUAGAAAAAAAGAAUACAAAACAUACACAUUUUUAAGAAGCUUUUUUUUUUUUUUUCAAUCUGUUGGAGACAGAUCGUCUCCCACUUUCAAAGGCAAUUCAAUUGUGGGGGGGUUUGUACUUUUUUUUGUACUUUUUUUUUUUUUUAACAAGUAGCGUCUAUGCAGGCAUCACAAACUUUGGCGGAUA